Molecule: non-coding RNA, 2744 nt
Organism: Podarcis lilfordi (Lilford's wall lizard)
Lineage: Eukaryota; Metazoa; Chordata; Lepidosauria; Squamata; Lacertidae
Source: the annotation of a GenBank genome assembly
CGCUCCUGACCCGAGCAAGCCACGCCUCCUUUUCCUCCUAUUAACUCUUCACCUCCCGGUUUCAGUGUGCGUGCACACGAAAGCUUAUACCAAGAACAAACUUAGUUGGUCUCUAAGAUGCGUCUAAGGGGUGCGGGUGGCGCGGUGGGUUAAACCACAGAGCCUAGGACUUGCUGAUCAGAAGGUUGGCGGUUCGAAUCCCUGCAAUGGGGUGAGCUCCCGCAGUUCGAAAGCAUGUCAAAGUGCAAGUAAUUAAAUAGGUACCGUGCGCGUUGGAUCCCUCAGCCAGUAAAGCGAGAUGAGCACCGCAAGCCCAGAGUUGGUCACGACCGGACCUCAUGGUCAGGGGUCCCUUUUUACCUUUAAGGUGCUACUGGACCUAUAUAUAAAAUCGAUUUUCCUGUAAGCUUUGUUUUGCGUUUACGAAGCCUUAAUGCGGAUCCAAGCUCAAAGUAACCAAACAAAACAGGCGUUUGUCUAUGUAGGAAUGCCAUAGCUUUAAAGCAUACGAAAAGAACAUUGGGAACUGCAGUUCACCACUCAGAUCUACAGCUCCCAGGAUUUUUGUGUGUGUGUGUGGCAGGUGCUUUAAAGGUGUUUUGUGUAGGCAAGUGAACUCUGUUAAGUGGCACUUGCUCCUAGUAUGCAUGGAUCUAGCUGCAAAAAUAUUUUACUUACCUAUUUGUUGUAUUUACAAAUCACCCUUCUGCCAAGGCAACCAAGGCAGUCUACAGUUUUAAAGUAAGGGUGCACAUUUCUUUAGAAUUAGGUCCCAGUGAAAUCAAGAGCAGUCCUCGGUGCUAAAUGUGCUCUCCUGUCCAGAUCCGGUUGCAAGGCUAGCAAUGAGGGUGGAAAGCCCCCACCCUUACUUGGGAGCAUGUGAGAGACAGUGUGGUGUAAUGGUUAGACUGUUGGACUAGGACCUGGGAGGAAACAAGGAUUCAAAUCCCCACUAGGCCAUGAGGCUCACUGGCUGAUCGUAGUGGCCCGUCACAGAUCUCAGCCUAACCUGCUUCUCAAGGUUGUUGUGAGGAAAAAAUGGAGAAGAGGAGAACCAUGUUCACCACCUUGAUCGUCUUAGAGGGAAAAGUGGCAUACAAAAUAUAAUAAAUAAAAUGGAUAAUAAUAAAGAAGUACCACUGAACUCAGUGGUGCUGACUUCUGUAUAAGCAGGAUAUGGAUCCAGCUGCUAAGAAUGUGUAGGAGCAAGCCCCAUUGAAAUCCACAACAUGCAUAAAUCCAGGGCUGGCCCACCCAUGAGGCAAGGUGAGGCAACAGGUAGAACUGAAGUUUCAUGAGCACAUAAGCAGAGGCUGAUGGUCCACCUUAUCAGCAUCCUAUUCUCCCAGUGGCCAACCAGAUGCCCCUUAUGAGAAGCACAAAAGAAAUAAUAAAAAUAAAAACCAAACGUAAAAUUUGAAAUUGGCUAUUAUGUAGUUUAACAGUGGAAAUCAUUUCACAUAUUUAUCGCACUUAUCUAGAUUGCAUCUCUCCUUCUGAAGCCGGCCUGGUUUUAGCAAAGAUGUGACGAGAGCUCCCAUCAUUUUGUCAGCUUCCAAACGUGCCUGCAAAGUUACCUGGAGAGGAAAUCUUAAACGCAGGCAAUUUUAUGUUCGAGAUUGACGCUCUGAGGUGUGCUCUCUGAUGCCACGUCUAAAGGUUUCUAUCCUUUUUUCUGAUUUCUAUGGAAACGUCACCCAAAAGCUUUCCUCUAAUUUUGUUUCUUCCCUGAAUUUGAAGCUAAUAGAGUCUCAUUUUCUUUCUCCCAGAAAGUCAUCCAGCAUCAAUCUGCACAAAUAGUGUUGUGAUUUGUUAUCUGCUGGCUACAUUGCAGGAAACAAUUUUGGUACUACGAUGCAGGCACUGGACACAUUGCCAAUGGACUUUCAAUGUGGAUGGUGCUUUACUUUAUUAUCAUGUGGGGGGUGGGGGUGGUACUAUAGAAGAGAACCCAGCACGACAUUGUGGAGCUUGUGGGUGUGUAGUUAAACCAUCUUGUAGGGAUGAUCGCAGAGUGGGGAGUGGGGUCCGGAGGGAGCACACUCCCCACCUGCAGGCAGCCGCAGCUUCAGCCUGCCUGCACGCGUGACCUUGGGGUGCAGAGUACACAGCCCCUCACAGACAAAGCCACAGCUGUCUGAACAUCGUUCCCUCUGUCUAACCUUUUGUGGUCUCAGUAGUCUGCGGUGCCCUGUCUGUAACCUUUAUCUCUGAGACUUUUUGUCUCCUUCGUCAUACACUGUGCAAGGGGAAAAAUGACACGGUGGAAACAGGUGCCAAAAUAACUUUGUACCACCCUAUGAUCUCGGGACCAGAAGAUGUGUAAAGGUCACAGCCCAAAAUGUAUCUGCCUGGUUUGCAUAUUUGUCUCAAUAAAAGGAGGCUCCACAGGGCUGGCCAGCAGUUUGCAUGCAGCUCACCUGUGCGCAGCUCACCUGCAUUACCAACUCCUGCCUCAUGUCCAUCACUUCACAUCCAAUGUUGGUUUCUUUUUGUUUUUUUUUUUAAAAAAAAAAUGCCAAAGAUCAGAGUUCAAAUCAGGGAUCAUCAAACUUUUUGGGGGCUGGUGGGCACAUUUGGGAGCCUGAGAAAGUGUCAUGGCCUCCGCUCUGAAAAUGGCUGCCAUGGUGUAGGUUACAUAACAGAAAAUGGCAGGUGCAUGCCCAUUCCAAUCAAGCACUGUAUAAACUGCAUGCAAUAAAACAGAUAAAAGUAUCUCUUGAAAUCCAUAAUCUUCUAUAGAC